This is an RNA transcript of Athalia rosae (coleseed sawfly), 2370 nucleotides long. It is a transcript of the gene named WD repeat-containing protein 19-like, with no coding region annotated. The transcript has 8 exons. The record is from RefSeq and is a predicted model, not a curated record. NCBI's taxonomy places the organism in Eukaryota, Metazoa, Arthropoda, Insecta, Hymenoptera, Athaliidae.
UUAACGACUACUGCCUCCGAUUUCCGAGGAAAACCGAAGAAUCCCGACUGACUCCGAAGCGACGAAAUUUUUAAAAAUUUGGAAAAAAUCGGAAAAAAUCAGAAAAAAAUAGAAAAAAAUUAGAAAACGAUCAGGAAUUAAUCCAGGAGGAUAUAAAAUCAUGAGGCGCAUCGAAGGACUCGUGGAGAUGUGCUCAUUGAAUAAAUAAUUCAAAAAUGGAGAAAAAACCGAUUAAAUACUGGGAAAAACCUUAACAUGAAUUUAAGAUAAAGUGACAUUGCCUGCAUAUUAUUGGACCCUAGCAGGACAUAGAUGGGAUCCUGUUAUUGAUUAAAAAUAAUUUUUUCAAUUAUAUUUCUUCAGGUGUUUGCCAAGAAAUGAAUUACGACAACACACGGUGAACAUGGGGUGAAUCAACUAUGCCAUUCGAACUUGAUACAACCUGACUUUGUCACUCAUUGGGAAGACGAGAUCCCUGGGUCCCUCUGAACAUAAUUUGAACAAUAAUACGCUGCGGUGAUGUAGUUGUUUUGAUCAUAGCAUGACCGGUGCUGCUGAUUCAUUUUUCCUAGGAGGAAUUAUCGUAGCUUUGCUUUAGGACGCCGAUCAACGCCUGGAGGCUACAGAGAUAGAGGUCAAGAGACAACGUCGACAACACCGGAAGACUUGACAAGGUUAUCCAAGUGUCAGGAAGGAUGUUCUUCUUCAUGAUGAUAUCGUUCCAAUUUCAACAUCGACGGUAAUAGAAUGCCAUAGAGCCGGACUGAAGCAUGCAGCGUUCAACUUUAUGCGGCCUGAAUACCAAACGCAAAUCCAUGCCAACUGUAGCAAAAAAAUUGAAGCGAUCGUGAGGAAGGCUCCAAAGACAAAGGAUCCUGAAGCUGAGAAUGAGCCAUUGACACCUUGUCCUUAUUGCAAAAAUAAAUUACCUGAGACGAAAGUCAUGUGUGACAAAUGCAAGAGCACCAUACCUUUUUUCAUUGCUACGGGUCGUCACCUUCUCAAAGAAGACUUUACAGCUUGUCCACAAUAUGAGUUUCCCAAAAUCGCAACUGAGUUCCUGCGAAUCAUCGAAAGUGAAGAAGUUUGUCCAAUGUGUACGGAACAUGUGGAUCCAAAUAUGGUGUCAUCGAGCAUCGGCAUUCAUUCAUUCCUCGAUGCACAAGAUACCAAUGUUAAAAAGGUUUAGAGUUUGUUCCAAACAAAGUGCGCUUACAUCUAGAAUAACUGUGCGAAUUGUGAAAAUACCAUUCCUGAUCCACAGCGACUCGUCGCAUAGCCUAUCAAAAAGGCAAGACUCAGCUAUUAUUAUACAGUUGUAACUUGAUGCCAUAGCUCACUAUUUUUCCAUAAAUCAUACCUUAGUCUUAGACCAAAAAGUUAGUACAUGGUAGGGAGUACAAUCUAUGGCAUACACGGUCUAGAUAUCCUGAACAGAUGCUGAUCUAUCGAAUCGAAGAUAAUACAUAGUAAUAAUUAUUAAAUUCCAGUCAAGCUUCCCUUUGAUAAUUUUUGAUAACGAAAACCUGAUAUAUUCAGCCAUCGAGCAGAAGAAUCGUGUCAUUCAAUCGUCGGGUGUUUAUACUUGGUGACUCUCAGAAAACUUUGCUCAAUUCUCAUGAUGAGUAUCUCCGAGGAGGAUACCUUGACAAUUAAAGUUGAAAUGCAAAGAUCAGUUUACCUAUAACAUAUUGUAAAAAAUUAGGCGAGCACGUUUGACGUUAGGUAUAGCUGAAUUUGUUGAUUGAAUUAAGUGAUUUGUCAAAUUAAUCAAGUUGCCGCUAGUUCGGUACUUAGAAUAGCUAAUAAAUUUGAUUAUCUCGAUUACUUUCGGUUGUAAUUCAAUUUCAGAGUGUCAGAAUGAUGUUUUGAUGCUCAAAAAAUACAGAAGAAUACUACACAGUUCAAUUUUUGUGUUUGCCAAGAAAUGAAUUACGACAACACACGGUGAACAUGGGGUGAAUCAACUAUGCCAUUCAAACUUGAUACAAACUGACUUUGUCACUCAUUGGAAAGACGAGAUCCCUGGGUCCUUCUGAACAUAAUUUGAACAAUAAUACGCUGCGGUGAUGUAGUUGUUUCGAUCAUAGCAUGACCGGUUCUGCUGAUUCAUUUUUCCUAGGAGGAAUUAUCGUAGGACGCCGAUCGACGCCUGGAGGCUACAGAGGUAGAGGACAAGAGACAACGUCGACAACACCGGAAGACCUGACAAGGUUAUCCAAGUGUCAGGAAGGAUGUUCUUCUUCAUGAUGAUAUCGUUCCAAUUUCAACAUCGACGGUAAUAGAAUGCCAUAGAGCCGGACUGAAGCAUGCAGCGUUCAACUUUAUGCGGCCUGAAUACCAAACGCAAAUCCAUGCCAACUGUAGCAA